This 253-nucleotide ribosomal RNA is filed under the name uncultured bacterium. RNAcentral's name for it is "partial 16S ribosomal RNA". It matches the Rfam family "Bacterial small subunit ribosomal RNA", at positions 524 to 776 of the family's 1533-position model. The record is from RNAcentral.
AACGUAGGACGCAAGCGUUAUCCGGAGUUACUGGGCGUAAAGCGCGAGCAGGCGGCUCGACAAGUUCGAUGUGAAAGCGCCCGGCUCAACUGGGCGAGGCCAUUGGAAACUAUCGAGCUGGAGGGCAGUAGAGGCAGGCGGAAUUCCGGGUGGAGUGGUGAAAUGCGUAGAGAUCCGGAGGAACACCAGAGGCGAAGGCGGCCUGCUGGGCUGCACCUGACGCUGAGCCGCGAAAGCCAGGGGAGCGAACGGG